UGAACGCUGGCGGCGUGCCUAAUACAUGCAAGUCGAGCGAACGGACGAGAAGCUUGCUUUUCUGAUGUUAGCGGCGGACGGGUGAGUAACACGUGGAUAACCUACCUAUAAGACUGGGAUAACUUCGGGAAACCGGAGCUAAUACCGGAUAAUAUUUUGAACCGCAUGGUUCAAAAGUGAAAGACGGUCUUGCUGUCACUUAUAGAUGGAUCCGCGCUGCAUUAGCUAGUUGGUAAGGUAACGGCUUACCAAGGCAACGAUGCAUAGCCGACCUGAGAGGGUGAUCGGCCACACUGGAACUGAGACACGGUCCAGACUCCUACGGGAGGCAGCAGUAGGGAAUCUUCCGCAAUGGGCGAAAGCCUGACGGAGCAACGCCGCGUGAGUGAUGAAGGUCUUCGGAUCGUAAAACUCUGUUAUUAGGGAAGAACAUAUGUGUAAGUAACUGUGCACAUCUUGACGGUACCUAAUCAGAAAGCCACGGCUAACUACGUGCCAGCAGCCGCGGUAAUACGUAGGUGGCAAGCGUUAUCCGGAAUUAUUGGGCGUAAAGCGCGCGUAGGCGGUUUUUUAAGUCUGAUGUGAAAGCCCACGGCUCAACCGUGGAGGGUCAUUGGAAACUGGAAAACUUGAGUGCAGAAGAGGAAAGUGGAAUUCCAUGUGUAGCGGUGAAAUGCGCAGAGAUAUGGAGGAACACCAGUGGCGAAGGCGACUUUCUGGUCUGUAACUGACGCUGAUGUGCGAAAGCGUGGGGAUCAAACAGGAUUAGAUACCCUGGUAGUCCACGCCGUAAACGAUGAGUGCUAAGUGUUAGGGGGUUUCCGCCCCUUAGUGCUGCAGCUAACGCAUUAAGCACUCCGCCUGGGGAGUACGACCGCAAGGUUGAAACUCAAAGGAAUUGACGGGGACCCGCACAAGCGGUGGAGCAUGUGGUUUAAUUCGAAGCAACGCGAAGAACCUUACCAAAUCUUGACAUCCUUUGACAACUCUAGAGAUAGAGCCUUCCCCUUCGGGGGACAAAGUGACAGGUGGUGCAUGGUUGUCGUCAGCUCGUGUCGUGAGAUGUUGGGUUAAGUCCCGCAACGAGCGCAACCCUUAAGCUUAGUUGCCAUCAUUAAGUUGGGCACUCUAAGUUGACUGCCGGUGACAAACCGGAGGAAGGUGGGGAUGACGUCAAAUCAUCAUGCCCCUUAUGAUUUGGGCUACACACGUGCUACAAUGGACAAUACAAAGGGCAGCGAAACCGCGAGGUCAAGCAAAUCCCAUAAAGUUGUUCUCAGUUCGGAUUGUAGUCUGCAACUCGACUACAUGAAGCUGGAAUCGCUAGUAAUCGUAGAUCAGCAUGCUACGGUGAAUACGUUCCCGGGUCU
Molecule: ribosomal RNA, 1370 nt
Filed under: uncultured bacterium
Lineage: Bacteria
Description: 16S ribosomal RNA
Rfam family: Bacterial small subunit ribosomal RNA
Source: RNAcentral